CGUAGGGUGAACCUGCGGAGGGGAUCAUUA
RNAcentral lists this ribosomal RNA (30 nucleotides) under Curvularia spicifera. Its description in RNAcentral is "partial 18S ribosomal RNA". The record is from RNAcentral. Lineage: Eukaryota; Fungi; Ascomycota; Dothideomycetes; Pleosporales; Pleosporaceae.